ACCAUGCACCGAAGCUGCGGCAGCGACACUCAGGUGUUGUUGGGUAGGGGAGCGUUCUGUAAGCCUGCGAAGGUGGCCUGUGAGGGUUGCUGGAGGUAUCAGAAGUGCGAAUGCUGACAUAAGUAACGAUAAAGCGGGUGAAAAGCCCGCUCGCCGGAAGACCAAGGGUUCCUGUCCAACGUUAAUCGGGGCAGGGUGAGUCGACCCCUAAGGCGAGGCCGAAAGGCGUAGUCGAUGGGAAACGGGUUAAUAUUCCCGUACUUGGUGUUACUGCGAAGGGGGGACGGAGAAGGCUAUGUUGGCCGGGCGACGGUUGUCCCGGUUUAAGCGUGUAGGUGUGUGUUCCAGGUAAAUCCGGUUCACUUUAACACUGAGGCGUGAUGACGAGGCACUACGGUGCUGAAGCAACAAAUGCCCUGCUUCCAGGAAAAGCCUCUAAGCAUCAGGUAACAUCAAAUCGUACCCCAAACCGACACAGGUGGUCAGGUAGAGAAUACCAAGGCGCUUGAGAGAACUCGGGUGAAGGAACUAGGCAAAAUGGUGCCGUAACUUCGGGAGAAGGCACGCUGACACGUAGGUGAAGUGAUUUACUCAUGGAGCUGAAGUCAGUCGAAGAUACCAGCUGGCUGCAACUGUUUAUUAAAAACACAGCACUGUGCAAACACGAAAGUGGACGUAUACGGUGUGACGCCUGCCCGGUGCCGGAAGGUUAAUUGAUGGGGUCAGCGCAAGCGAAGCUCCUGAUCGAAGCCCCGGUAAACGGCGGCCGUAACUAUAACGGUCCUAAGGUAGCGAAAUUCCUUGUCGGGUAAGUUCCGACCUGCACGAAUGGCGUAAUGAUGGCCAGGCUGUCUCCACCCGAGACUCAGUGAAAUUGAACUCGCUGUGAAGAUGCAGUGUACCCGCGGCAAGACGGAAAGACCCCGUGAACCUUUACUAUAGCUUGACACUGAACAUUGAGCCUUGAUGUGUAGGAUAGGUGGGAGGCUUUGAAGUGUGGACGCCAGUCUGCAUGGAGCCGGCCUUGAAAUACCACCCUUUAAUGUUUGAUGUUCUAACGUGGACCCGUGAUCCGGGUUGCGGACAGUGUCUGGUGGGUAGUUUGACUGGGGCGGUCUCCUCCUAAAGAGUAACGGAGGAGCACGAAGGUUGGCUAAUCCUGGUCGGACAUCAGGAGGUUAGUGCAAUGGCAUAAGCCAGCUUGACUGCGAGCGUGACGGCGCGAGCAGGUGCGAAAGCAGGUCAUAGUGAUCCGGUGGUUCUGAAUGGAAGGGCCAUCGCUCAACGGAUAAAAGGUACUCCGGGGAUAACAGGCUGAUACCGCCCAAGAGUUCAUAUCGACGGCGGUGUUUGGCACCUCGAUGUCGGCUCAUCACAUCCUGGGGCUGAAGUAGGUCCCAAGGGUAUGGCUGUUCGCCAUUUAAAGUGGUACGCGAGCUGGGUUUAGAACGUCGUGAGACAGUUCGGUCCCUAUCUGCCGUGGGCGCUGGAGAACUGAGGGGGGCUGCUCCUAGUACGAGAGGACCGGAGUGGACGCAUCACUGGUGUUCGGGUUGUCAUGCCAAUGGCACUGCCCGGUAGCUAAAUGCGGAAGAGAUAAGUGCUGAAAGCAUCUAAGCACGAAACUUGCCCCGAGAUGAGUUCUCCCUGAGACUUUAGGUCUCCUGAAGGAACGUUGAAGACGACGACGUUGAUAGGCCGGGUGUGUAAGCGCAGCGAUGCGUUGAGCUAACCGGUACUAAUGAACCGUGAGGCUUAACCUU
This 1763-nucleotide ribosomal RNA is filed under the name Salmonella enterica. RNAcentral describes it as "partial 23S ribosomal RNA". It matches the Rfam family "Bacterial large subunit ribosomal RNA", at positions 1186 to 2925 of the family's 2925-position model. Lineage: Bacteria; Pseudomonadati; Pseudomonadota; Gammaproteobacteria; Enterobacterales; Enterobacteriaceae. The record is from RNAcentral.